This 212-nucleotide transfer-messenger RNA is filed under the name Gemmatimonadota bacterium. RNAcentral describes it as "partial transfer-messenger RNA". It matches the Rfam family "transfer-messenger RNA", at positions 1 to 221 of the family's 374-position model. From Rfam's summary of the family: Bacterial tmRNA, also known as 10Sa RNA or SsrA, is named for its dual tRNA and mRNA-like properties. Its role is to liberate the mRNA from a stalled ribosome. Lineage: Bacteria; Pseudomonadati; Gemmatimonadota. The record is from RNAcentral.
GGGGGCGACUGGCUUCGACGGGGUUAGUGAAGCUGUGGCCGCGUGCCCAGGUACUCAGGUCCUGGUAAAACCUCUGGGGAUUUUUACAACUGCCAACCAAAACUUGGCCCUGGCUGCGUAACUCUUAGGAGUUGCUGCACCUGCCCUUGAAGAAGCUCUCCUGAGGCGGCUUUGAGGGUAUCGAAAAUUCGGGAUAGUUGGCUGCUGCGUCU